UACGAAGGGGGCUAGCGUUGCUCGGAAUCACUGGGCGUAAAGCGCACGUAGGCGGGUCUUUAAGUCAGGGGUGAAAUCCUGGAGCUCAACUCCAGAACUGCCUUUGAUACUGAAGAUCUCGAGUCCGGAAGAGGUGAGUGGAACUCCGAGUGUAGCGGUGAAAUGCGCAGAUAUCAGGAAGAACACCCGUGGCGAAGGCGGUUCUCUGGGACGGUACUGACGCUGAGACGCGAAAGCGUGGGGAGCAAACAGG
RNAcentral lists this ribosomal RNA (253 nucleotides) under uncultured bacterium. RNAcentral's name for it is "partial 16S ribosomal RNA". It matches the Rfam family "Bacterial small subunit ribosomal RNA", at positions 524 to 776 of the family's 1533-position model. The record is from RNAcentral.